RNAcentral lists this ribosomal RNA (486 nucleotides) under uncultured bacterium. Its description in RNAcentral is "partial 16S ribosomal RNA". It matches the Rfam family "Bacterial small subunit ribosomal RNA", at positions 30 to 507 of the family's 1533-position model. The record is from RNAcentral.
AUUGAACGCUGGCGGCAUGCCUUACACAUGCAAGUCGAACGGCAGCACGGGUGCUUGCACCUGGUGGCGAGUGGCGAACGGGUGAGUAAUACAUCGGAACAUGUCCUGUAGUGGGGGAUAGCCCUGCGAAAGCCGGAUUAAUACCGCAUACGAUCUACGGAUGAAAGCGUGGGACCUUCGGGCCUCGCGCUAUAGGGUUGGCCGAUGGCUGAUUAGCUAGUUGGUGGGGUAAAGGCCUACCAAGGCGACGAUCAGUAGCUGGUCUGAGAGGAAGACCAGCCACACUGGGACUGAGACACGGCACAGACUCCUACGGGAGGCAGCAGUGGGGAAUUUUGGACAAUGGGCGAAAGCCUGAUACAGCAAUGCCGCGUGUGUGAAGAAGGCCUUCGGGUUGUAAAGCACUUUUGUCCGGAAAGAAAUCCUUGGCCCUAAUACGGUCGGGGGAUGACGGUACCGGAAGAAUAAGCACCGGCUAACUACGUG